CCAUUGGAAACGAUGGCUAAUACCGCAUAAUGCCUACGGGCCAAAGAGGGGGACCUUCGGGCCUCUCGCGUCAAGAUAUGCCUAGGUGGGAUUAGCUAGUUGGUGAGGUAAUGGCUCACCAAGGCGACGAUCCCUAGCUGGUCUGAGAGGAUGAUCAGCCACACUGGAACUGAGACACGGUCCAGACUCCUACGGGAGGCAGCAGUGGGGAAUAUUGCACAAUGGGCGCAAGCCUGAUGCAGCCAUGCCGCGUGUAUGAAGAAGGCCUUCGGGUUGUAAAGUACUUUCAGCAGUGAGGAAGGGGGUGUCGUUAAUAGCGGCAUCUCUUGACGUUAGCUGCAGAAGAAGCACCGGCUAACUCCGUGCCAGCAGCCGCGGUAAUACGGAGGGUGCGAGCGUUAAUCGGAAUUACUGGGCGUAAAGCGCAUGCAGGUGGNUUGNUNAGUCAGAUGUGAAAGCCCGGGGCUCAACCUCGNANNUGCAUUUGAAACUGG
RNAcentral lists this ribosomal RNA (494 nucleotides) under Vibrio sp. KR08-48. RNAcentral describes it as "bacterial SSU rRNA". It matches the Rfam family "Bacterial small subunit ribosomal RNA", at positions 147 to 636 of the family's 1533-position model. The record is from RNAcentral. Lineage: Bacteria; Pseudomonadati; Pseudomonadota; Gammaproteobacteria; Vibrionales; Vibrionaceae.